This 565-nucleotide long non-coding RNA is filed under the name Zea mays. Its description in RNAcentral is "drought responsive lncRNA". Lineage: Eukaryota; Viridiplantae; Streptophyta; Magnoliopsida; Poales; Poaceae. The record is from RNAcentral.
AGCAAAUAUAAGAAUCAGAACAUUGUUGCCACUCAGCAGCUUUUUUUGCAGAGGCACAAGGAUUGGACAAUUGGUAGCUGGACUAAAUUGAAAAGGUCAAGCUUUGUAUGUUUUGAGCAAACAAUUAUUUGUCAAAUGAUAUGCAAGCUUAAUGACUAAAAGUUGUAUUAAGGGUUCUACUGGGGGCUUAGUGAAGAGCAGUUGUGUGGGUGUGUGGCCUGCUUGCACUUGUGCUGCUGUCCUUUUGCGCGCUGCUGUUUCCACGCGCAGAUUGCGUGCUGCUGUUUCCACGCGCAAAAGGAAGCUGCAUUCCUGUGCGUAGCAGAUUUGGUGGUCUUGUGUUUGGUCAGGGUUUGGUGGUCGUGUGUUUGGCCUUUUGUGCCAUUGUACUUGGGUCCAUUUGGGACUGUUUCUUCUCUUAAUUUAAUGAUGCGCAGCUCUCCUGCGCGUUCACGAAAAAAUGUGUUCACAUUUCACAUGUUUUUAAUAUAUUGAUUGUGUACCAAAUGAUAAUAACACAUUUCAAGAUAAGUAUAUGGUCAUGUUUUAGUUUUGAAGACACUCA